GAUCAUGGCUCAGGAUGAACGCUAGCUACAGGCUUAACACAUGCAAGUCGAGGGGCAGCAUGGUCUUAGCUUGCUAAGGCCGAUGGCGACCGGCGCACGGGUGAGUAACACGUAUCCAACCUGCCGUCUACUCUUGGACAGCCUUCUGAAAGGAAGAUUAAUACAAGAUGGCAUCAUGAGUUCACAUGUCCGCAUGAUUAAAGGUAUUUUCCGGUAGACGAUGGGG
Molecule: ribosomal RNA, 226 nt
Filed under: uncultured bacterium
Lineage: Bacteria
Description: partial 16S ribosomal RNA
Rfam family: Bacterial small subunit ribosomal RNA
Source: RNAcentral